GCCCGAAUGGUCUAGUCGUAUGAUACCUGCUUUGGGGUUUUCAAACUGAAAUGCAGGUGGUCCCGGGUUCAAAUCCCGGUUCGGGCC
Microdochium nivale is the source of this 87-nucleotide non-coding RNA. The record is from the annotation of a GenBank genome assembly. Lineage: Eukaryota; Fungi; Ascomycota; Sordariomycetes; Xylariales; Microdochiaceae.